UACGUAGGGGGCGAGCGUUGUCCGGAUUUAUUGGGCGUAAAGAGCUCGUAGGCGGCUUGGCAAGUCGGGUGUGAAACCUCCAGGCUCAACCUGGAGACGCCACUCGAUACUGCCAUGGCUAGAGUCCGGUAGGGGACCACGGAAUUCCUGGUGUAGCGGUGAAAUGCGCAGAUAUCAGGAGGAACACCGGUGGCGAAGGCGGGUCUCUGGGCCGUAACUGACGCUGAGGAGCGAAAGCGUGGGGAGCGAACAGG
Molecule: ribosomal RNA, 254 nt
Filed under: uncultured bacterium
Lineage: Bacteria
Description: partial 16S ribosomal RNA
Rfam family: Bacterial small subunit ribosomal RNA
Source: RNAcentral